UUAUUCAGUGACUGAAAAGCAAGUAAUGGUCUCUUAAACCAGAUAAUGGUAAAUGCACUUACCCUGAAUA
RNAcentral lists this transfer RNA (70 nucleotides) under Anoeconeossa unicornuta. RNAcentral's name for it is "tRNA-Lys". The record is from RNAcentral. Lineage: Eukaryota; Metazoa; Arthropoda; Insecta; Hemiptera; Aphalaridae.